Oncorhynchus gorbuscha (pink salmon) is the source of this 2101-nucleotide RNA transcript. It is a transcript of the gene named inhibitor of growth protein 4-like, with no coding region annotated. Lineage: Eukaryota; Metazoa; Chordata; Actinopteri; Salmoniformes; Salmonidae. The transcript has 9 exons. The record is from RefSeq and is a predicted model, not a curated record.
AGUUAAACCUCAUAAAAACCUCGGAAAAACCUUUGUUUAUUAUUUUCAAGAUGGCGGCGGGAAUGUAUUUAGAACAUUACCUUGACAGUAUAGAAAAUCUGCCGUUUGAGCUACAGAGGAAUUUCACUCUUAUGAGAGACCUGGACACACGGACAGAGGAUCUGAAAGGGCAGAUAGACUCGUUGGCUCGUGAGUACACGUCAAACACACACACCCUCUCCUCUGAGCAGAAGCUCUCCCUGCUCCGGCAGAUCCAGCAGUCAUAUGGCAAGUGUAAAGAGUUUGGAGAUGAUAAGGUCCAACUGGCCAUGCAGACCUAUGAGAUGGUGGACAAACACAUUCGCAGGCUGGACACAGACCUGGCCCGCUUCGAGGCAGACCUGAAGGAGAAAAAGAUUGAGAGCACAGACUAUGACUCUACCUCCAGUAAGGGAAUCAAGAGUGAGCUCAGGGGGCCAAAAGAGAAGGUGGCUCGCACAAGGUUAAAGGUGAAGUCAGACGACGACUGCAGCCCCAAAAGCGGACAGAAGAAAGUCAAACUAACACAAGCGCCUGAGUUCACAGCCCCUACAGUGAACUUUGGGAACGUCCACCCCUCGGACGUGCUGGACAUGCCCGUGGACCCCAACGAGCCCACCUACUGCCUGUGUCACCAAGUGUCCUACGGAGAGAUGAUUGGCUGUGACAACACAGACAGAGAAGCAAUGACAUCACGUCCUGAGAUGACGGAAUUGAAAUGAACCCCAACCCUGAUUGGUGCUCCAUUGAGUGGUUCCACUUCGCCUGCGUGGGGCUAACAACAAAACCCAGAGGAAAAUGGUACUGUCCAAGGUGUACUCAGGAGAGGAAGAAAAAAUGAACCCAGAGACCAUCAUAACCAACAAUCAUGAAGCUAGAGUUUACAAAGGAGGGUUCAGUGUUUGUAUUUCAACAUGGGGAAACCCUCCAUAAACACUAACAUUGACCCCGCAGGGUCAUGUUUAAUAGUUCACACCGUCGCAAAUUGUCAAAACCGAAAUGAGCAUUUCCUAUUGGGCAAGUCCAGAGUAGCCCCUUCCCUGUAUCCAUAUCCAUGUCGUCCAUAUUCUUCAGUUCAGUGUCUAAUGAACACACACACACACACAGUAUUAGGGUCCUGCUGGUCUGCCAUCCUGUAUAAUUCUCUUUGUUAAACAGAAAGAAGCUAUGAUGAACAUUUGACAGAGGCGAAGUUAGACGCCCCCCAAUCAUGACUAUUAUGUUGCAUUUUAUUUUCGAACUUUUUUUGACGGUUGCUUUAAUGCCUUUAUAUGCAGAGUAAUACAGGGACGUAAUACCCUUAUUUUACAGCCGAUGGUUCUAUAUGGCUCUCAGCCACUCGGUUGCUUCAUGGCAGACUAACAGCGACUCCUACUGGAUGCUUUUAUACUGAACACUAAUUCAGCCCUGAUACACGCAGAUCUCAUGUGUUAACUCUUAUUUUCCAACUGUUAUCUUAAUUCACCCCUGGUUAUUUCCAUAUCAGACUUUUGGGGGACAGAACAUUUAUUGAUUAAGCAGAGUCAUUGAUUUAGUUGAUAGAUUUGACUCAAUGAGAAUAUACAGAUCUAGAUGUCCUAGUUCAGAAUGCAGUCGGAAGCAAACUGGACAGAAUUUCUCUCGCACAUUCGCUUAAACAGCGAUGACCUGAAUUGCAGGUUGUUUGCACAAAAUUAGUGCGCUGGAAAUGGAAUUGCUUAAAGGAAUGUAGAUGCUAACACUUUCAAAUAUAUAUGGAUAUUUUGAUAGGCCCCAACUUGCAUCAUUCAACAAUGUCCUGUAUAUUUCUAUUAUGGAGAGGCAUAUCUUUGACUGGCUGUGUUUAUGAAGAGCCUUAUUGAUCAUUACUGUAAGAAUAACAAUUUAAAUGUGCUUAUAAGUAUCAGUUACCUGAUACUUUGCCCAGUAGGUUUUGACUGGUGCCUCAAGAAUAUUAUUUCAAGUUCAACUAAUGAACAUUUAUUUUGUUGCCAUUUACUUUUUGUAUUCAAAGUGUAAUUGAAUACUGUACUGAAACAUUGGAUGCUGUUUUUGGUGUUUUUCCAUUAAGCAAUAAAGCUUUAAAAAAAAUAGUAAAAUGAAA